This 497-nucleotide ribosomal RNA is filed under the name uncultured bacterium. RNAcentral describes it as "partial 16S ribosomal RNA". It matches the Rfam family "Bacterial small subunit ribosomal RNA", at positions 28 to 507 of the family's 1533-position model. The record is from RNAcentral.
GAUGAACGCUGGCGGCGUGCCUAAUACAUGCAAGUCGAGCGAACAGAUGAGGAGCUUGCUCCUCUGACGUUAGCGGCGGACGGGUGAGUAACACGUGGAUAACCUACCUAUAAGACUGGGAUAACUUCGGGAAACCGGAGCUAAUACCGGAUAAUAUAUUGAACCGCAUGGUUCAAUAGUGAAAGACGGUUUUGCUGUCACUUAUAGAUGGAUCCGCGCCGCAUUAGCUAGUUGGUAAGGUAACGGCUUACCAAGGCAACGAUGCGUAGCCGACCUGAGAGGGUGAUCGGCCACACUGGAACUGAGACACGGUCCAGACGACUACGGGAGGCAGCAGUAGGGAAUAUUCCGCAAUGGGCGAAAGCCUGACGGAGCAACGCCGCGUGAGUGAUGAAGGUCUUCGGAUCGUAAAACUCUGUUAUUAGGGAAGAACAAAUGUGUAAGUAACUAUGCACGUCUUGACGGUACCUAAUCAGAAAGCCACGGCUAACUACGUG